This 497-nucleotide ribosomal RNA is filed under the name uncultured bacterium. RNAcentral describes it as "partial 16S ribosomal RNA". It matches the Rfam family "Bacterial small subunit ribosomal RNA", at positions 28 to 507 of the family's 1533-position model. The record is from RNAcentral.
GACGAACGCUGGCGGCGUGCCUAAUACAUGCAAGUUGAGCGCUGAAGGUUGGUACUUGUACCAACUGGAUGAGCAGCGAACGGGUGAGUAACGCGUGGGGAAUCUGCCUUUGAGCGGGGGACAACAUUUGGAAACGAAUGCUAAUACCGCAUAAAAACUUUAAACACAAGUUUUAAGUUUGAAAGAUGCAAUUGCAUCACUCAAAGAUGAUCCCGCGUUGUAUUAGCUAGUUGGUGAGGUAAAGGCUCACCAAGGCGAUGAUACAUAGCCGACCUGAGAGGGUGAUCGGCCACAUUGGGACUGAGACACGGCCCAAACUCCUACGGGAGGCAGCAGUAGGGAAUCUUCGGCAAGGGACGAAAGUCUGACCGAGCAACGCCGCGGGAGUGAAGAAGGUUUUCGGAUCGUAAAACUCUGUUGGUAGAGAAGAACGUUGGUGAGAGUGGAAAGCUCAUCAAGUGACGGUAACUACCCAGAAAGGGACGGCUAACUACGUG